Pelobates cultripes (western spadefoot toad) is the source of this 518-nucleotide non-coding RNA. Lineage: Eukaryota; Metazoa; Chordata; Amphibia; Anura; Pelobatidae. The record is from the annotation of a GenBank genome assembly.
GCCGCAACAACCCCACAGCAGACCAGAGGCACCAUGCUUGUCAGGCAUGUCUCGUUAUAGCAGGACUUUCACAUUAUGCCUUAUAUCACAGGAACUGACCGUUAGUUAAGCAUAGAGUAACAGAUUUUAUUAAAAUGUCUUUAUUUUACCUCUCGCAGUUUACUACUGUAGUGCCUACCUUGACUCUACUCUAACAGCACAUGCAAUAUUUUAUUAGCCAGUCCUCACUAAAGGGGCAACUUAAGCUUGUACAAACUAAUGGUGAAACUGCUGGUAUUUCCCUGUAGUCGACAAUGUGUAACCUCACUCUAACCAUAAAAGCUGUCUAGUUUAUCAAUGCAAUGUUAAAUAUUUAGAAGCCUCAGCACAACUAGCCUUGUUAUAUAUAUAUAUGUUUAGUCUAGCAUGCUAAUAUAUAAACCAGUGAUGUUUAAAAGCCUGUUAUAAUCAUGUUAUUAAAAAAAAAAAUUGUGCCGUUUCAACUGAAAUGUAAUGAAAAAUGCCUGCAGAUGAUAUCG